UUGGAGGGCAAGUCUGGUGCCAGCAGCCGCGGUAAUUCCAGCUCCAAUAGCGUAUAUUAAAGUUGUUGCAGUUAAAAAGCUCGUAGUUGAAUUUCGGGAUCAAUACGUCGGUCGUGCCCCGGUACGUACUGGCGUCAUUGAUUUCUCCCUUCUGAAGAACCUUGAUGCCAUUAACUUGGUGUCAUGGGAAAUCAGGACUGUUACUUUGAAAAAAUUAGAGUGUUUAAAGCAGGCUCACGCUUGAAUACAUUAGCAUGGAAUAAUGAAAUAGGACGUUCGACCCUAUUUUGUUGGUUUCUAGGAUCAACGUAAUGAUUAAUAGGGAUAGUUGGGGGCAUUAGUAUUCAAUUGUCAGAGGUGAAAUUCUUGGAUUUAUUGAAGACUAACUACUGCGAAAGCAUUUGCCAAGGAUGUUUUCAUUAAUCAAGAACGAAAGUUAGGGGAUCGAAGACGAUCAGAUACCGUCGUAGUCUUGACCAUAAACUAUGCCGACUAGGGAUCGGAUGAUGUUAAUUUUUUAAUGACUCAUUCGGCGCCUUACGGGAAACCAAAGUGUUUGGGUUC
RNAcentral lists this ribosomal RNA (564 nucleotides) under uncultured Glomeraceae. Its description in RNAcentral is "SSU rRNA". It matches the Rfam family "Eukaryotic small subunit ribosomal RNA", at positions 548 to 1114 of the family's 1831-position model. Lineage: Eukaryota; Fungi; Glomeromycota; Glomeromycetes; Glomerales; Glomeraceae. The record is from RNAcentral.